This 400-nucleotide ribosomal RNA is filed under the name uncultured bacterium. RNAcentral's name for it is "bacterial SSU rRNA". It matches the Rfam family "Bacterial small subunit ribosomal RNA", at positions 355 to 781 of the family's 1533-position model. The record is from RNAcentral.
UUAGGAAUUUUGCGCAAUGGACGAAAGUCUGACGCAGCGACACCGCGUGAAGGAUGACGGCCCUCGGGUUGUAAACUUCUUUUAUUUGAUAUUACUUUCAGAUGAAUAAGCAACUACUAACUACGUGCCAGCAGUCGCGGUAAUACGUAGGUUGCGAGCGUUACCCGGUUUUAUUGGGCGUAAAGGGUCUGUAGGUGGUUUUUUAAGUUCUAUUUCAAAGACCCCGGCUUAACCGGGGAAGGGUUAGAAUACUGAAAACUAGAGUGGUAUCGGGGUUACUGGAAUUUGUAGUGUAGGAGUUAAAUCCGUUGGAUACUACAAAGAACACCAAGCGCGAAGGCGGGUAACUAGAUAUCUACUGACACUCAGAGACGAAAGCUAGGGUAGCCAAUCAGAUUAG